RNAcentral lists this ribosomal RNA (472 nucleotides) under uncultured bacterium. Its description in RNAcentral is "partial 16S ribosomal RNA". It matches the Rfam family "Bacterial small subunit ribosomal RNA", at positions 355 to 821 of the family's 1533-position model. The record is from RNAcentral.
UAGGGAAUCUUCCACAAUGGACGCAAGUCUGAUGGAGCAACGCCGCGUGAGUGAAGAAGGUUUUCGGACCGUAAAGCUCUGUUGUUGGUGAAGAAGGAUAGAGGUAGUAACUGGCCUUUAUUUGACGGUAAUCAACCAGAAAGUCACGGCUAACUACGUGCCAGCAGCCGCGGUAAUACGUAGGUGGCAAGCGUUGUCCGGAUUUAUUGGGCGUAAAGCGAGCGCAGGCGGAAGAAUAAGUCUGAUGUGAAAGCCCUCGGCUUAACCGAGGAAUUGCAUCGGAAACUGUUUUCUGAGUGCAUAAGAGGAGAGUAGAACUCCAUGUGUAGCGGUGGAAUGCGUAGAUAUAUGGAAGAAUACCAGUGGCGAAGGCGGCUCUCUGGUCUGCAACUGACGCUGAGGCUCGAAAGCAUGGGUAGCGAACAGGAUUAGAUACCCUGGUAGUCCAUGCCGUAAACGAUGAGUGCUAAGU